AGAGCGAACGCUGGCGGCAGGCCUAACACAUGCAAGUCGAGCGCCCCGCAAGGGGAGCGGCAGACGGGAGAGUAACACGUGGGAACGUACCCUUCAGUUCGGAACAACCCAGGGAAACUUGGGCUAAUACCGAAUACGUCCGUAAGGAGAAAGAUUUAUCGCUGAAGGAUCGGCCCGCGUCUGAUUAGCUUGUUGGUGAGGUAAUGGCUCACCAAGGCUACGAUCAGUAGCUGGUCUGAGAGGAUGAUCAGCCUCACUGGGACUGAGACACGGCCCAGACUCCUACGGGAGGCAGCAGUGGGGAAUAUUGGACAAUGGGCGCAAGCCUGAUCCAGCCAUGCCGCGUGGGUGAUGAAGGCCCUAGGGUUGUAAAGCCCUUUCGGCGGGAAGAUAAUGACGGUACCGCAGAAGAAGCCCGGCUAACUUCGUGCCAGCAGCCGC
This 441-nucleotide ribosomal RNA is filed under the name uncultured bacterium. RNAcentral's name for it is "SSU rRNA". It matches the Rfam family "Bacterial small subunit ribosomal RNA", at positions 26 to 518 of the family's 1533-position model. The record is from RNAcentral.